This 257-nucleotide ribosomal RNA is filed under the name uncultured bacterium. RNAcentral's name for it is "partial 16S ribosomal RNA". It matches the Rfam family "Bacterial small subunit ribosomal RNA", at positions 99 to 354 of the family's 1533-position model. The record is from RNAcentral.
CGCACGGGUGAGUAACACGUAUGCAACCUGCCUGCCACAGCCGGAUAAUCGGGAGAAAUUCCGUCUAAUACGGCAUAAUGCAUCGACGGGACAUCCUGUUGGUGCCAAAGGUUGAUUCCGGUGGCGGAUGGGCAUGCGUCGCAUUAGUUAGUUGGCGGUGUAACGGACCACCAAGACGACGAUGCGUAGGGGUUCUGAGAGGAAGGUCCCCCACACUGGUACCGAGACACGGACCAGACUCCUACGGGAGGCAGCAG